Molecule: ribosomal RNA, 465 nt
Filed under: Vreelandella stevensii
Lineage: Bacteria; Pseudomonadati; Pseudomonadota; Gammaproteobacteria; Oceanospirillales; Halomonadaceae
Description: partial 16S ribosomal RNA
Rfam family: Bacterial small subunit ribosomal RNA
Source: RNAcentral
CCUACGUGGUGCAGCAGUGGGGAAUAUUGGACAAUGGGCGAAAGCCUGAUCCAGCCAUGCCGCGUGUGUGAAGAAGGCCUUCGGGUUGUAAAGCACUUUCAGUGGGGAAGAAAGCCUUGGGGCUAAUACCCUCGAGGAAGGACAUCACCCACAGAAGAAGCACCGGCUAACUCCGUGCCAGCAGCCGCGGUAAUACGGAGGGUGCGAGCGUUAAUCGGAAUUACUGGGCGUAAAGCGCGCGUAGGCGGUCUGAUAAGCCGGUUGUGAAAGCCCCGGGCUCAACCUGGGAACGGCAUCCGGAACUGUCAGGCUAGAGUGCAGGAGAGGAAGGUAGAAUUCCCGGUGUAGCGGUGAAAUGCGUAGAGAUCGGGAGGAAUACCAGUGGCGAAGGCGGCCUUCUGGACUGACACUGACGCUGAGGUGCGAAAGCGUGGGUAGCAAACAGGAUUAGAUACCCGAGUAGUC